UGAUCACACUGACUGAACAAACAGUCAAAGGUGCUGCCGCAGAUAAGCGCUGGUACAAUUGAUCCCUGGCUUUCCGUGCCUGAUUUGAACUUUCAGGACACAUUGUUGGCGCAGCUUAGCACUUUAAUGUGAUGCUUGCCAACAGCAAGGAAUUCUUCGGCUCACAGGUAGAAUCACAUCGUGGUUUUCGGGGGGAGGGGAGGUACGGAAAUGAAAUAAAACCCUCUGGAAUAUUAUUUACUUUAGUGUGUAUAAGCUGCCUUAUACCUGAAGGAACGUCUCCACCCCCAUCGUCCAGCCCAGACACAGAGGUCCAGCUCCGAAGGCCUUCUGGCAGUUCCUUCACUGCAAGAAGUGAAGCUACAGGGAACCAGGAGAAAAACCAUUUAAGAAGAAAAAGGCACUAGAACAUUAUUCCUCAGCCCAUGCAAAUGGCAAUUCUGGGUAUAAUCCAUGUGUGGCAGAAGGUAGCAGUUUCACAUCAGCUGCCCCUGGCCUCUGACCUCCACAUACCAAGAUCUUGCUAGUGAGCCUGAGUCUGCUGCCCUGCUCCUCACACUGAUCACCCCCAGAAUUACUUAAUGCAACUUGUGUCCAGGAUAUCUUCAGGACUGCCCGGAUCCCUUAUAUCUGUCAUGGGUCAGGAGUCAGCUUCGCCUGCUGAACAGCAGCCUGAAGGGGAGAAGGCAGAGUGACUCCACCUGGAGCUGAUCAGCCUUCAAGGCACUGAUGAGAAGAACCAGCUGGCUUCAGCCUUCUUAAGCAGCGCUUCCAGCAGCAGCCAAUUGCUGGCAACAAGGCUUGUAGUUCCUGGUCCUACCUUGCUGCUUCCUGCUCAUCUUGACCCUUCACCUUAUGAUCAUCAGGUUCCCUGACUCCUGGACCCCCUGACCACGUGGAUUGCUGUUCGCCCAACCCUAGGACUGGACCUGACUUUGGAUGCUGACUCUGCCUCCAAGGGCUGCUACCAAGGACUCAUCAUUGAACCACCGCUGCAAGAAACCUCCUGUGCCCC
Zootoca vivipara (common lizard) is the source of this 1015-nucleotide non-coding RNA. Lineage: Eukaryota; Metazoa; Chordata; Lepidosauria; Squamata; Lacertidae. The record is from RefSeq and is a predicted model, not a curated record.